CAUGAGAGCGGUGGACGGGUGAGUAAUGCCUAGGAAUCUGCCUGGUAGUGGGGGAUAACGCUCGGAAACGGACGCUAAUACCGCAUACGUCCUACGGGAGAAAGCAGGGGACCUUCGGGCCUUGCGCUAUCAGAUGAGCCUAGGUCGGAUUAGCUAGUUGGUGAGGUAAUGGCUCACCAAGGCGACGAUCCGUAACUGGUCUGAGAGGAUGAUCAGUCACACUGGAACUGAGACACGGUCCAGACUCCUACGGGAGGCAGCAGUGGGGAAUAUUGGACAAUGGGCGAAAGCCUGAUCCAGCCAUGCCGCGUGUGUGAAGAAGGUCUUCGGAUUGUAAAGCACUUUAAGUUGGGAGGAAGGGCAGUAAAUUAAUACUUUGCUGUUUUGACGUUACCGACAGAAUAAGCACCGGCUAACUCUGUGCCAGCAGCCGCGGUAAUACAGAGGGUGCAAGCGUUAAUCGGAAUUACUGGGCGUAAAGCGCGCGUAGGUGGUUCGUUAAGUUGGAUGUGAAAUCCCCGGGCUCAACCUGGGAACUGCAUUCAAAACUGUCGAGCUAGAGUAUGGUAGAGGGUGGUGGAAUUUCCUGUGUAGCGGUGAAAUGCGUAGAUAUAGGAAGGAACACCAGUGGCGAAGGCGACCACCUGGAC
Molecule: ribosomal RNA, 650 nt
Filed under: Pseudomonas sp. DM4-11
Lineage: Bacteria; Pseudomonadati; Pseudomonadota; Gammaproteobacteria; Pseudomonadales; Pseudomonadaceae
Description: bacterial SSU rRNA
Rfam family: Bacterial small subunit ribosomal RNA
Source: RNAcentral